ACUCAAAUGAAUUGACGGGGGCCCGCACAAGCGGUGGAGCAUGUGGUUCAAUUCGACGCAACGCGAAGAACCUUACCAGGCCUUGACAUCCCGGUCGCGGCCUCUUGAAAGAGAGGCCUUCAGUUCGGCUGGACCGGUGACAGGUGCUGCAUGGCUGUCGUCAGCUCGUGUCGUGAGAUGUUGGGUUAAGUCCCGCAACGAGCGCAACCCUCGCCCUUAGUUGCCAUCAUUCAGUUGGGCACUCUAAGGGGACUGCCGGUGAUAAGCCGCGAGGAAGGUGGGGAUGACGUCAAGUCCUCAUGGCCCUUACGGCCUGGGCCACACACGUGCUACAAUGGCGGUGACAAUGGGCAGCAAAGGCGCGAGCCCGAGCUAAUCUCAAAAAGCCGUCUCAGUUCGGAUUGCACUCUGCAACUCGGGUGCAUGAAGUUGGAAUCGCUAGUAAUCGCAGAUCAGCACGCUGCGGUGAAUACGUUCCCGGGCCUUGUACACACCGCCCGU
Molecule: ribosomal RNA, 501 nt
Filed under: uncultured bacterium
Lineage: Bacteria
Description: partial 16S ribosomal RNA
Rfam family: Bacterial small subunit ribosomal RNA
Source: RNAcentral